AUGCUUAGACCUGUAUUUUUGCGUCUUCGUUUGACUUAUAUUACAAAAACGAGGGGAGCGCCGCCGCACCUUCUCGUUGUAGGCGACAGCUCGAUGGACCGUGUCGUCAUCUCCGGCAUCCUCCGGAGCUUCAACUUCCGCGUGACCGCCAUGGACAGCGGGAAGAGGGCGCUGGAGCUUCUUGCCUCCGAGGCCAAUGUGAGCAUGAUAUUCACUGACUACUCAAUGCUGGAGAUGACCGGCUACGAGGUCCUCAAGAAGGUCAAGGGGUCAUCCAAGCUGAGGGAGAUCCCCAUGGUGAUCAUGUCCUCGGUGAACGUGCCUACAAGGAUCAACAGGUGCCUGGAGGAAGGAGCCGAGGAUUUCCUGCUCAAUCCCAUCCAACCGUCCGAUGUGUCGCACCUCUGCAGCCGUCUCCUCCAGUGA
RNAcentral lists this ribosomal RNA (426 nucleotides) under Triticum aestivum (bread wheat). RNAcentral describes it as "partial small subunit ribosomal RNA". The record is from RNAcentral. Lineage: Eukaryota; Viridiplantae; Streptophyta; Magnoliopsida; Poales; Poaceae.